This 30-nucleotide non-coding RNA is filed under the name Mus musculus (house mouse). The record is from RNAcentral. Lineage: Eukaryota; Metazoa; Chordata; Mammalia; Rodentia; Muridae.
UAGCCUGAAAAGNGCUGGUUCACAGCCACA